GAAGUGCGACAAGUGUCAUGACUUGCAGAUUCCCGAGAGCUGACAAAUUUCUGAAUGCAAAUGGCGGCCGCUUACAACGGCCAUGUAUUGCAGAGUGUAGUUGUUCAUACUCAUCAUCCCCUAUAGCCAUACGGUGGGCUCUAGGAUUGGGAUCUGCGCUUAGGAGCUCCGCCCUGAGUGUUAAAACUGGAGCGUCCUGGUAAGACUAGCUUGUCUAGUCCCCGGGCGACUUCGAAAAGGCAAUCCUAAUUGUCACGACGAAGUUAUGCUCUAUAAAAUUUAGGCAGCCACCUCUGCGAUGCAGGAAUACCCGCUGAACUUAA
This 323-nucleotide unclassified non-coding RNA is filed under the name uncultured fungus. Its description in RNAcentral is "sequence contains ITS1". The stretch from base 1 to 100 matches the Rfam family "5.8S ribosomal RNA", at positions 50 to 154 of the family's 154-position model. The record is from RNAcentral. Lineage: Eukaryota; Fungi.